Molecule: ribosomal RNA, 237 nt
Filed under: uncultured bacterium
Lineage: Bacteria
Description: partial 16S ribosomal RNA
Rfam family: Bacterial small subunit ribosomal RNA
Source: RNAcentral
UACGUAGGUGGCAAGCGUUGUCCGGAAUACUGGGCGUAAAGCGUGCGCAGGCGGUGAUGUAAGACAGGUGUGAAAUCCCCGGGCUUAACCCUGGGAACUGCAUUUGUGACUGCAUCGCUGGAGUGCGGCAGAGGGGGAUGGAAUUCCGGCGUGUAGCAGUGAAAUGCGUAGAUAUGCGGAGGAACACCGAUGGCGAAGGCAAUCCCCUGGGCCUGCACUGACGCUCCAUGCACGAAA